Non-coding RNA from Mycena latifolia, 90 nucleotides. Lineage: Eukaryota; Fungi; Basidiomycota; Agaricomycetes; Agaricales; Mycenaceae. The record is from the annotation of a GenBank genome assembly.
UCGGGUGUGGUGUACGGUCCACCGCUGCAGCUUAUAGAGGGUCGUCUCGUUACUAAGCAGUGAACCGGGGUUCGACUCCCCGCGCCCGAA